This 79-nucleotide transfer RNA is filed under the name Borreliella valaisiana VS116. RNAcentral describes it as "tRNA-Arg". It matches the Rfam family "tRNA". From Rfam's summary of the family: Transfer RNA (tRNA) molecules are approximately 80 nucleotides in length. Their secondary structure includes four short double-helical elements and three loops (D, anti-codon, and T loops). Lineage: Bacteria; Pseudomonadati; Spirochaetota; Spirochaetia; Spirochaetales; Borreliaceae. The record is from RNAcentral. RNAcentral also lists the same sequence under 2 other names.
UGCAUUCAUAGCUCAAUUGGAUAGAGCAGUGGACUUCGAAUCCGAAGGUUGCAGGUUCGAGUCCUGCUGAGUGCGAAAA